This 1367-nucleotide long non-coding RNA is filed under the name Helianthus annuus (common sunflower). RNAcentral's name for it is "hypothetical non coding rna". The record is from RNAcentral. Lineage: Eukaryota; Viridiplantae; Streptophyta; Magnoliopsida; Asterales; Asteraceae.
GGGUAUGGAAUAGGAUAUUUUUUUUUUUUAAGUGGCUAAGGUGAUGAAAACUCAACUUUUUAUUACAAAAUAACUAUGCUAAACACAAUUAUCUACAAACAUCGACUAGAAGGCAACAAUUUUUCGCCUUUUAUUAAAUCAAACUAUAAACACAUAUUUUUGUGUUUUUCUUAACAAUUUUUUUUUCUUCUUUUUCACAAUUUUUCUGUUUUUUUUUUUUUUUUUUUUUUGCAAAUAUAAACCACAACUAUACAAACAAAUAAUCCUAAAAUCGAAUUUCCAUCACACGGGUUUAAAAGAAAAAGGUUUACGGUUAUGGGCUAUAGGGUGGUCAAACGAAAGGUAAGCAAAUGGUGUAAAAGAAAAAGGUUUACCUAAUGCCUUAAUCAUUCUCGUGCUUGUAUUCGGUCUAUGGUCUCAAACGUAUCAAAAGAUGCAAGUUCUACAAUACAUGACUAAUGGUCCACUCAAACAAAGAAACAUAUAUAUGUAAUUCUAUUAUGUAAAAGUGGCUCAAAACCUCACAUAUAUAAAGGGUAUGGUAUGUGACGUGCAUGAUGUGCUAGUUUCUUAGGCGAAUUAUUCCCAAAUAACCACCCGCUAAAUACCCGUCAUGCUAUUAACUUGAACUUGACCAUGACAAAAGACCAAAUGAGUUGUGACAUCCCUCGUUAACUUAGUUACUUGUGCUUUUUAGAUUGCUUCAAACAAAGACAUUUUGAAAAAUUUUUGAAAUUUUUCCCCCAUCCCCACACUUGAGGUAAACAUUGUCCUCAAUGUGUAGUGUUUAGAUGAACGGGUCAAAAAUCGAAAAACUUUUACUACUCCCCCAUCCCCACACUUGAGGUAAACAUUGUCCUCAAUGUGUAAGAACUAGAGUUUUUUAAAAACGCACAAGGGAUGUGACACGACUAACUUCCCCAAAAUUUCACCCCGGAAAAAUAAUAUACAAUUUACAAUCCACUUAUUUGCUAACUAAAAAAUCAAAAGUAAAAAGGGAACGUAUGCACCUGAUUUUUAGAGCUCAUUCCUCGUGUGCUCUUCAUCUCUUCAACAAAGCGGUCGUCUCACAAACAUAAUGUACCUACAAAUCUUAACCCUUGUGUAGAAGCAUGCUUCUCACAACCAUUAAAAUUUAUUAGCUACCUAGUUCUACCACUUUUAUGAAAAUAUUACCAAGUCAUACAUUAAUUUACUUUGAUUUAUGUGGAAAAAUAAUUUACAACAAUAACAAGCCUAACUCACUUUCGUAGGAAUCACGGUUGCAUUUAGCUUAUGCAACAAGCCCUUUUAAACCUCUCAAUAGCUUGGGAGGACGAGAGGUCUCGUGAGGGUUAUAUAGGGAACACACCCACAACGUUCAUUUA